GGCUUAAUGUUUUUGUAUUGCAUAAAUAUGACAAGUAACUAUCCACUUAGCAGUAAGUUCGUCAUUAUCUUUAUAUUCGUCAUCAAAUGGAUUUAAUAUUAUGGUUGUAUUCAUGGAUCUUUCUGGACAGUGGGUGAUGUGUGUCGGCCGUUAACGUUAGCAUAUCUCCAUGGACAGCUAAGUGUCUAUGAUGUUAAAUUAUUAGGCCUAUGUUGAGUAUAACUAUUUUAUUCGUAAGUAUAAAAUGGAAGUUAACACAUCUCCUCCCAGUCGUUGUUUGGAAUUUUAGCCUUAGUCUCCCGGCCAGUUUCAUAAAUUUUCAUCAGCCAGCGAACAUUUUGUCCGAUGGGCAUGUGUAAUUUCUAGAAGUGCUAGUUCUUCAGAAAAAGGAUACGUGCCUAAGUACACUAAACCAACGUUAGUUCUGCUUUUUUCUUUUUUGUGUCACUCCUCACCACAUAUGGCAGAUUUAGUGUGAAGAGCCACCUGUACAAGAUUCCUGGGACAGCAGAACAUGCACCUCACGCACUACCCUGGCACCCUGGCUGAACAACCCGCAGCACAUCAUCUCCAGCUGAGAGGGGGACUCAUACAUUCAUUUGAAAUCAGCUCUACUGAGCGUAACACAACUCUUGCAAUCAAAUUUGGCAGAGGCUCUGAAGGCCACAUAGCCAGCAAGGUACACUGACACAUUGCCCUCAAUGACGUCCAGCCCCUUCAUGAACUCUGUGUUGUCCAGUCCAGGGAAUGUGGGUUCCUCAUCAGUAGACUGUACGUGAGGCAUGGUCAGUGCGGUGCAUGGAUGGGGAGUUGCCAUCUGCGAUGACUCAGUGCAGCUCUACAAAAUCAUUGCAAAUGAUUACAGACUUACAGUAUACUAAUCAUGUGUGACACUUUUGUUUUUGAAAGGGUGUUUCGUGUACCUCGUGAGGCAUGGUCAGUGCGGUGCAUGGAUGGGGAGUUGCCAUCUGCGAUGACUCAGUGCAGCUCUACAAAAUCAUUGCAAAUGAUUACAGACUUACAGUAUACUAAUCAUGUGUGACACUUUUGUUUUUGAAAGGGUGUUUCGUGUACCUCGUGAGGCAUGGUCAGUGCGGUGCAUGGAUGGGGAGUUGCCAUCUGCGAUGACUCAGUGCAGCUCUACAAAAUCAUUGCAAAAGAUUACAGACUUACAGUAUACUAAUCAUGUGUGACACUUUUGUUUUUGAAAGGGUGUUUCGUCUACCUCAAACAAAUGGGACAAUUGCAGCAAUAGGUGUAUUUCCUCCGGUUCGCAAUUUGUAUUUCUCCCAAAUGUCAUUAGAUAGUCUAGCACGGCCUGCCUGUAGUCUAAUCGGAAUUGCUGAGGGUCUGGAUUGUCCCUGUGCCCGCCCUUCGCUCUGAUCACCCCAAAGAAGUGUUCCAGGCAGUCCUGGUUGAGGUGCCUCGUAAAUAGAAACUGAAAUCCUUUCUCUGUGAAUGCAAAUGACAAACAGUACAUUGGCCAACAGCAGAAAACAUGCAGUGGUGGACAAAGCUCAUUAGCAUUAGCAAAGCUCAAUUUGAAUAAUUAUGCCUUAUUGCUGCUACCUUUCAAUUCAGCCCAGAUUUCCUUGAUUGCUCUUAGGUUAUGCCUCCAACCAUUUAGGCAAUUCAAGCUGUUGCCACUGGCACAUCUGACAGAUGCCAGCCAGUUAAUACUCUCAUUGAUAAAAUCAAUAUGUGUCUCUCUGAAGGCAUCCUUUUGUGGUGUGCUGCUGGACAAUGUGCUACUGUUAAAGCAGUCAAACAUCUGGUUAAAGUGGGCUACAAAAUCUGCCGUCGUUUUUGCCCCCUCUCUUAGCUUCCCCAUGUCUGCCAUGGUGAGCAGUGCAGCCGCAACAGAAUGACUAAGAACCUGUAAUAAAAAAAUAAAAAAAAUCCCAUUUUCAGGACCAUAGAUAAAGAUUGUAAAUUGAAUGUUAUACGCCUGCAUGACAGUUUUCACUUGUGGCUUACCUGAGUGGCGAGAGGCACACUCAUUGUUGAAAAGGCAGUGAGGGACAGAUGCCGUUGGGUUAACUUGGGUGCCAUUCGGUGUUGUCUUUGUGAAUCAAUUUUAAACAUUUCAGUGAUGUCUCCCCAUUCUGCCAAUUUGUCCCCUAUGUAAAAUCCAUAUUUUCGCAAAUUGUUUCUGAUGUUUUUCAUUAAAUGGGGGGGGUCGAAUAAAAAAUGAAUCUUCUGGCUUUUGACAAAGAAGUACGGUUUUUCUUCUGUUAUACCCAGGUUUCUACAGGCUGCCAGGUUGUUGCUGCCUUGGUCCAUUACCAGCACCAUGGGAGUGAAGCCAGUGUCAAGCACCUUUUCCACCGCCUCCAUGAUUUUGGUUUUUAAGACCCCAUGCUUCAUGGUCCCAGAUGACAAGAAGUACCCUAUGGGUUGUUUCCAUUUCCCAGUUAGACUACGGAUCAUGAAAACCCCUGCAUGGUUGGCUGGUCUUCCCCCUUCGUCAUACCCUUCUACUUCAUCUUUCGAGAUGUUAUAAUUUAGGCUACAUUUCAAUGUAAUUUCAUCAAAUGUGAUGGCAACGUGCCUAUCUCGCUCUUCCAUAUGCUGCACUUGAUGUUUAAGUGCAUACAGCACAGGUUCAUGCCAUCCCGGCCCGAUGUCUACUCUCUGCAAGAUAUUUGAAAGGGUCCUGGCUGUAGGGAGCUUGAAAAUUCUCCUCAUGGUUCGGUAGGCUUUUGGCCCUGUACCCUUAACCUGUAACGCCCAACUUUUCAUGAAGUUGCUCCACCGAAUGGCCCUUGGUUUUUUUUUGGCAUUAUCAAUUUGCUCGUUGACAAAUUGUGCGGCUUGUUUUGGCAAUACUUUGGAAAUUUCCCUCUUUAAUGUUUGUUUGCUGAUAGAUGGUGUCUUUUUCUUUAGCCUUGACAGCUUUGAUUUGUAGCAGCCAAUUUUUCUUUUCAGUUUUUCCACUGUGUUGUCAUUGCUGACACUGGCCAGUACAUCAGUGCCUAAAAAGAAAUGUGACAACUGUAACAACAGACUUAUGCACAGACUACUACCUAUGCAGUGUUCAACACUCAGAAUGUAUCUGUUACCACCAUUUGCCAUUAAAUCACUUACUAUCCAGGA
Long non-coding RNA from Engraulis encrasicolus (European anchovy), 3096 nucleotides. RefSeq lists it as uncharacterized. The transcript is spliced from 2 exons. The record is from RefSeq and is a predicted model, not a curated record. Lineage: Eukaryota; Metazoa; Chordata; Actinopteri; Clupeiformes; Engraulidae.